UUAUAAAUUAGAUUAAGAGCUGUUAGCUAACAUCAUACUAAUAUACAAAACAUAAAUCCCAAUGGACAAGUUAAUCCAAAAAAUAUGUUGGGAUAGUUUAGCUUGUCAAAGUUGUACCCAAAAAAAGAAGUUGAUUACGUACAAAAG
This is a long non-coding RNA of Ipomoea nil (Japanese morning glory), 147 nucleotides long. RefSeq lists it as uncharacterized. NCBI's taxonomy places the organism in Eukaryota, Viridiplantae, Streptophyta, Magnoliopsida, Solanales, Convolvulaceae. The record is from RefSeq and is a predicted model, not a curated record. The transcript has 3 exons.